ACGGAGGGUCCGAGCGUUAAUCGGAAUUACUGGGCGUAAAGCGCGCGUAGGUGGUUAUUUAAGUCAGUUGUGAAAGCCCAGGGCUCAACCUUGGAACUGCAAUUGAUACUGGGUAACUAGAGUACAGUAGAGGAGUGUGGAAUUUCAGGUGUAGCGGUGAAAUGCGUAGAGAUCUGAAGGAACAUCAGUGGCGAAGGCGACACUCUGGACUGAUACUGACACUGAGGUGCGAAAGCGUGGGUAGCAAACAGG
This 252-nucleotide ribosomal RNA is filed under the name uncultured bacterium. RNAcentral's name for it is "partial 16S ribosomal RNA". It matches the Rfam family "Bacterial small subunit ribosomal RNA", at positions 525 to 776 of the family's 1533-position model. The record is from RNAcentral.